UCACAGAAUAAUUUCAGCACACAAAGCUGCACAUUUUUUGCCUCAAACUAAACAUACCCAGUACCUCAAUUGCACACAAAGCUGCACAAAACAGCUCAAAAUUCCAAUCCAACAAAAAUAAGAGAUAAAAAGAUCCCAACUUUCACAAUCCAAAAACAUAUGGUACACACAGUAAUGUCCAAACUCCAAAGUAAUAGUUCAAAUACAUUGUGAGAAUUAGUAUAUGAAAAUGAGUCUUGACGGGCACAGUCGUGGGGACGUGACCGCGUAAGUCGUGAGGCGGAGAACUGGUUAGGGCUUGACUGCUUAAGCCGUGUGGCCAGUGGUGGACUGGCGAAGAACUGGCGAGGUCUGACUUCUGAGGUGAGGACUGAGGGUGAGGAACUGAGUGAGUGAGGCGUCUGACGGAGAAAGCACAAUUAGUAUAUGAAAAUGAAACCCUAAUAUUAGAGAAAACGACAUAAAUCGUCCCUCAUCUUUCAGAGUAGGUUUAUGAUAGUCCCUCAAAUAUACACUUACUGUUUUUAAUCCUUUAAGUAUUCAAAAACUUAUCAAUUUUAGUCUCCGUUUAAUUUUAACCAAGCACCGUUAGUUUAUUUUAACAGCUAGCCCACUUAAGCCUCACCUCACCUGACCUUCAGAACAUCAAAAACUCAGUCUUUCCCCAUUCUUUCUCUCUCCCUGUUUCUUUUCCCCCAAAAUUACUCUUCUAAAAAAAGCCCUAACCUCAAAUCUACCAAGUGUGAUUUAGUGAAAGGAAUCUAAGAAAAUGAUCUUGCGAAUUGAAGGUGGUACAACUCCUUUUUAUGGUGAGUUUUCAGUAUUAGUGAUGUGGGGCUUUGUUUAGUGUUGAAGAAGAUUUUCAUAUGUAUUUCUCUAUUGGGAAAUCUCCAUGUAAAUUUACUUUGUCUCUAUUUUUUAGCUUUAUCAUCUAUAUCAUAUUCUUUACAUCUUUAGUGCUUUUGUUCAUUGCUAGAAAUUGUUCAGAUACCAAGCAAAUUGCGUGCAUGUAGGCUUUUUAUUAGUUUAUUUCUACCUAUGCGUCUCCAUCUUUAUGUGCUUUUUUAUAUUGCUGGGAAUGGUCAAAAAGUUAUAAUGUUAAGUGUAUCCUUGAAUCUUGCUUUUCAAUUUUCAUAAUAUAGUAAAAUAUACUAGUUGAUAUGAAAAGAAAAAUAAAUCUUUCUUUCUCUGUGUUGUUUAUCAGACCCUAUACAAGAUGCAUUAAAGAUUAGCAUCAAAGUAAACCACAGCGGUGUUAUGAAACAUCAUCCUCGAAGACAUUAUGUUGGGGGUCUUGAACAAUUUAUCGACUAUAUUGAUAUUCCAGAAAUGCAGCUAUCACAAUUCUAGACUAUGGCUGCGAUAUGUGGAUAUGAUAAUGAUUCGGUCGCAUUUUGGCAUAAGUAUGGUAGGUUCGUUGUGAGGGUUAGAAUGAAAAUGAUAAUGAUUUUGAGGACUCGGAUAAUGAUUUUGAGGAUGAAAAUUAUAUCUUAAAAAGGCGUAGAAAUACGGAACAUAGAUAUGAGGUUAGCGAAGAAGUUUGAAAAAAGAUGGCUAAUGAAGAAGGAGAUUCUGAUUGUGUUAACUCUGAGGUGUUUAAGAGCUUGGAAAGUGAUCCUGAUUCUAACAGUCUAAACUUUCCUAAGUUCAAUUAACAGAUAGGCUACAUCCCGUCUUAGCACCCGAAAUGACAUUCGAAAAUAAAAAGGAGUUCAAAAAUGCUGUGACUACUCAUGAAGUUAAUCAAGGUAAGUAUAUAGAAUGGUGCAAGAAUGAUAGAGAAAGGAAAAGAGCAAAAUGUGUGAAACCGGAUUGCAAUUUGGGGGAUUAUGGCUUCUAAAAUGUAAAUAUAUAAUUCCACCCAUGAUUGUAAGAAUUGGAAUUAUUAUAACAAUAAUAUCACAUCUUCAUUCAUUGCUACAAGAUAUCUUGAUGCCAUAAAAUCAAAUAGGAAUUGGAAGAUCUCCGCAUUUAGAGAUCAUGUGAGUGUACAAGAGCACAUGUGACUUUAUCUAAAUGUAGAAGGGCAAUGAAGAAGGCUAUUGCAAUUAUUGAUGGAGAUAUUUCUGAUCAAUUCAAUGUGCUAUGGAAUUAUUGUAAUGAAAUAGUAAGAACAAAUCCAAAUACUUUUGUUUACAUGAAGUUGGUCAAAUAUGAGGAUCCUAGCAAGCCUAAAGAUUUCAGAGAUUCUAUAUUUGUUUUAGUGCUUGCAAAGAAGGUUUCAAGAGUGGUUGCAGAAGAAUAGUUGGAGUGGAUGGUUGUUGGCUCAGUCCAAUGUACGGUACUCAAUUAUUAACUGCUAUUGGGCUUGAUCCUACUAAUAAUAUAUAUCCGAUAGCAUAUGCAAUUGUGGAGAAAGAAUGUCGCGAGUCAUGGUCAUGGUUUCUAAAUCAUUUAAAGCUUGACUUGGAGAUAGAUGAUGGAGCUAAUUGGACCUUCAUGUCAGAUAAGCAAAAAAGUUUGAUAGAAGCAUUUAAUGAGGUAUUACCAUUUGUGGCACAUAGAUUUUGUGUGAGACACUUGCAUAAUAACUUUAAGAGAGCGGGAUUUAGUGGUAACACAUUGAGAAAUGCACUGUGGAAAACUGUUAGUGCAACAACAGUAAAGUGGUUUGAUAAAUGUAUGCUUGAAAUAAUUGAUUUAGACCCCGCAGCUGCUUCUUGGUUGAGAGAUAAGUCACCUAGUGAAUGGUCUAGAUCUCACUUUUCUGAAACUGUGAAAUGUGAUACUUUAUUGAAUAAGAUGUGUGAAUCUUUUAAUAACAUGAUAUUGGAGGCGAGGGGUAAGCCUAUUGUCACUCUUUUGGAUAAAAUUCGAUAUCUACUUAUGACAAUAAUGCAAGCAAAUAGGGAUAAAUCUGGCAUGUGGAGUUCUGAUGAUAUUUGCCCCAGGAUUAAGGAUGUGUUGCACAAAAGUCAAGUUGUUGCUGCUGAAUAUAUUCCUAGAAAGGCAAACCAGUGGAACUAUGAGCUUAUAGGAGCUAGCGUAACUGAUAAUUGGGCUAUGGACUUACUAAAUAGAAAAUGUAGCUGUAGAAAAUGGGAUUUGACAGGAAUUCCUUGCAAGCAUGCCAUAGCUGCAAUUUGGGCUAAAAAUGAUGACAUUAAUUCUUAUGUUGAUGACUGUUAUAAGGUGGACACCUACAGAAGAAUCUAUGAAUUUGCCAUUCUUCCUAUGAAUGGUCAAAACAUGUGGCCACAACAUCAUAGUAUUCCUCCUUUACCUCCAAAAAUAGUAAGACAAAGUACUAAAGGGAGAAAACAGAAGUUAAGGAGAAAAGAACCAGAUGAAGCGGGAGCAAGCAGGACAAAAAUGAGAAGAAAGCAGAAAACUUUAGGAUGCAGUAUAUGUCACAAUACUGGACACAACAAAAGGACUUGCAAGUAUAAUUUGGGACAGAUUGAUUCUGAGAAUGUUACUCAGCAAUUCAGGGAAUCGUCUUCAUCAUGUCCCAACAAAAUUACCAGUAAUUUCUUGUUUAACUUACAGUCAAAUAAUUAUGUUCAACUUGUGUAAUGAUAUUAUUUAUUUAUCCAGGUUCGAAGAGUUCCAGAGACCCAAGCUAAUAUGCACUCAACUCAACAAAGUGAAGUGCUCCAGUUUACUGCAGAUUUUGCAGUUUAGUUGCUGAUUUUUGGCAUUGUUUGGUGCUGGUUCUGGUGCAGUGCGAUGCUCAUUUUUUGUGUAGUUCAGUGGCAGACUUUGGCGUGUUUUGGUGCUGGUUCUGGUGUAGUGUGGUGCUCAUUUUCUGUGCAGUUCAGUUGCUGAUUUUUGCUACAGUUUGGUUGCUGUUUUCUGCAAUUUGAUGCUGGUUUUUCUAGUUUUAUGCUGUUUUUUGGUAAUUUUGUGCAGUUUUCUGCAGUUUCGUUAAUGUAAUGACAUUUUAUUAACAUUAAAAUGACACUAUAUUUUGGCUCAAUUGUGUUCUUUAUUUUACAGCAAUAUUUUUGCA
RNAcentral lists this long non-coding RNA (3952 nucleotides) under Nicotiana benthamiana. RNAcentral's name for it is "long non-coding RNA (NBEN_LNC019945)". The record is from RNAcentral. Lineage: Eukaryota; Viridiplantae; Streptophyta; Magnoliopsida; Solanales; Solanaceae.